UGGGGGAUAUUGCGCAAUGGAGGAAACUCUGACGCAGCAAUGCCGCGUGAAGGACGAAGGUCUUCGGAUUGUAAACUUCUUUUAUCAGGGACGAAAAAAGACGGUACCUGAAGAAUAAGCUCCGGCUAACUACGUGCCAGCAGCCGCGGUAAUACGUAGGGAGCAAGCGUUGUCCGGAUUUACUGGGUGUAAAGGGUGCGUAGGCGGCAGGGCAAGUCAGCUGUGAAAUGUAUGGGCUCAACCCAUAGACUGCAGUUGAAACUGUUCUGCUUGAGUGAAGUAGAGGUAGGCGGAAUUCCCGGUGUAGCGGUGAAAUGCGUAGAGAUCGGGAGGAACACCAGUGGCGAAGGCGGCCUACUGGGCUUUAACUGACGCUGAGGCACGAAAGCAUGGGUAGCAA
Molecule: ribosomal RNA, 400 nt
Filed under: uncultured bacterium
Lineage: Bacteria
Description: bacterial SSU rRNA
Rfam family: Bacterial small subunit ribosomal RNA
Source: RNAcentral